This 1383-nucleotide ribosomal RNA is filed under the name uncultured bacterium. RNAcentral's name for it is "bacterial SSU rRNA". It matches the Rfam family "Bacterial small subunit ribosomal RNA". The record is from RNAcentral.
GAAUUCGCCCUUAGAGUUUGAUCCUGGCUCAGGACGAACGCUGGCGGCGCGCCUAACACAUGCAAGUCGAACGAGAGAGAGGGAGCUUGCUUCCUCAAUCGAGUGGCGAACGGGUGAGUAACGCGUGAGGAACCUGCCUCAAAGAGGGGGACAACAGUUGGAAACGACUGCUAAUACCGCAUAAGCCCACAGGUCGGCAUCGACCAGAGGGAAAAGGAGCAAUCCGCUUUGAGAUGGCCUCGCGUCCGAUUAGCUAGUUGGUGAGGUAACGGCCCACCAAGGCAACGAUCGGUAGCCGGACUGAGAGGUUGAACGGCCACAUUGGGACUGAGACACGGCCCAGACUCCUACGGGAGGCAGCAGUGGGGAAUAUUGCACAAUGGGGGAAACCCUGAUGCAGCGACGCCGCGUGGAGGAAGAAGGUCUUCGGAUUGUAAACUCCUGUUGUUGAGGAAGAUAAUGACGGUACUCAACAAGGAAGUGACGGCUAACUACGUGCCAGCAGCCGCGGUAAAACGUAGGUCACAAGCGUUGUCCGGAAUUACUGGGUGUAAAGGGAGCGCAGGCGGGAAGACAAGUUGGAAGUGAAAUCUAUGGGCUCAACCCAUAAACUGCUUUCAAAACUGUUUUUCUUGAGUAGUGCAGAGGUAGGCGGAAUUCCCGGUGUAGCGGUGGAAUGCGUAGAUAUCGGGAGGAACACCAGUGGCGAAGGCGGCCUACUGGGCACCAACUGACGCUGAGGCUCGAAAGUGUGGGUAGCAAACAGGAUUAGAUACCCUGGUAGUCCACACCGUAAACGAUGAUUACUAGGUGUGGGAGGAUUGACCCCUUCAGUGCCGCAGUUAACACAAAUAAGUAAUCCACCUGGGGAGUACGACCGCAAGGUUGAAACUCAAAGGAAUUGACGGGGGCCCGCACAAGCAGUGGAGUAUGUGGUUUAAUUCGACGCAACGCGAAGAACCUUACCAAGUCUUGACAUCCUGCGACGAUGCUGGAAACAGUAUUUUCCUUCGGGACGCAGAGACAGGUGGUGCAUGGUUGUCGUCAGCUCGUGUCGUGAGAUGUUGGGUUAAGUCCCGCAACGAGCGCAACCCUUACUGUCAGUUACUACGCAAGAGGACUCUGGCAGGACUGCCGUUGACAAAACGGAGGAAGGUGGGGAUGACGUCAAAUCAUCAUGCCCUUUAUGACUUGGGCUACACACGUACUACAAUGGCGUUAAACAAAGAGAAGCAAGACCGCGAGGUGGAGCAAAACUCAGAAACAACGUCCCAGUUCGGACUGCAGGCUGCAACUCGCCUGCACGAAGUCGGAAUUGCUAGUAAUCGUGGAUCAGCAUGCCACGGUGAAUACGUUCCCGGGCCUUGUACUCACCGCCCGUCA